GAUGAAGAACGUAGCGAAAUGCGAUAAGUAAUGUGAAUUGCAGAAUUCAGUGAAUCAUCGAAUCUUUGAACGCACAUUGCGCCCUCUGGUAUUCCGGGGGGCAUGCCUGUUCGAGCGCCAUUACAACCCUCAAGCUUUGCUUGGUAUUGGACAUUGCCAGUUUCUGGCAGGUCUUAAAAUCAGUGGCGGUGCCAUUUGGCUUUAAGCGUAGUAAUUCUUCUCGCUUUGGAGAUCCAGGUGGUUACUUGCCAAUAACCCCCAAUUUUUUCAGGUUGACCUCGGAUCAGGUAGGGAUACCCGCUGAACUUAAGCAUAUCAAUAAGCGGAGGA
This 330-nucleotide unclassified non-coding RNA is filed under the name soil metagenome. Its description in RNAcentral is "partial contains 5.8S ribosomal RNA, internal transcribed spacer 2, and large subunit ribosomal RNA". The stretch from base 1 to 120 matches the Rfam family "5.8S ribosomal RNA", at positions 35 to 154 of the family's 154-position model. The record is from RNAcentral.